Perca flavescens (yellow perch) is the source of this 250-nucleotide long non-coding RNA. RefSeq lists it as uncharacterized. Lineage: Eukaryota; Metazoa; Chordata; Actinopteri; Perciformes; Percidae. The record is from RefSeq and is a predicted model, not a curated record. The transcript is spliced from 3 exons.
CUGCACAGUGGACCAAACAAAAGAACAAAGAAAAGCUAUAGGCUGUGGCCCAUUGUGUCUCAAGCGAAGAUGGAGAUGAUCAUUCAUGCAUUCAUUUCACCCUCACUCUCCAACCACACAAAGCAUGGUGAUUGUGAGGGACCAAGCAGUAUGGCACAAGGAGUCCCAGAGAGUGAACGAGACCGACACCAGACCAGCUCCCGCCCAGCUGACCAGCUCCCCAGGUCUCCCAAGGACUCACUGGUCCCGG